UGAAAAUCUUCAAUUUUCUGAGGCUGACACAGAUCAAUUUAUUGAUCAAGAAUUCCUCACUACAGAAGAUACUGUUUAUUCCAACUCUGAAACUCAAGAAAGCGAAGCUUCUUUGUAUAGGUGGAGCACGCCUUGUGUUUUGUUAUUAUUAGAGUCUUAUAGAGCAUUGGAAAAAGAUUUUUAUAGUGGAAAAAUAUCCCAAAAGAAAAUUUGGGAAAAAGUUGCCAAAGAAUUGAAGGUAAAAGGACAUGAUGUAACUGGACCACAAUGUUCUUCAAAGCUACGAAGCUUAAAAAAAACUUACAAAUCUAUUAAAGAUCAUAAUAAUAAAUCAGGAAAUGACAGAAGGACUUGGCAGUUUUUUGAUAAUCAAAGAAGACACCAGUUGCCACUUUAUUAGGAAAAAGACUGAAGCAAAAAGAAGAACACGAAGCACAGAAAAAUAAAAGACACAAAGAGCGAAUGGAAAUGGAUGAAAAAUUUCUCAACGUUCUAGAAAAAUUAG
Molecule: long non-coding RNA, 505 nt
Filed under: Neodiprion pinetum (white pine sawfly)
Lineage: Eukaryota; Metazoa; Arthropoda; Insecta; Hymenoptera; Diprionidae
Description: uncharacterized LOC124212717
Source: RNAcentral